Pelobates cultripes (western spadefoot toad) is the source of this 94-nucleotide non-coding RNA. The record is from the annotation of a GenBank genome assembly. Lineage: Eukaryota; Metazoa; Chordata; Amphibia; Anura; Pelobatidae.
CCCCAGAUGUUGCUGAACUACAACUCCUUUUGAUUCUUUGAAUUACAUAGAUAACCAGAGAAUCAUGGGAGUUGUAGUUCAGCAACAUCUAGGG